GUACGUAGGUGGCAAGCGUUGUCCGGAAUUACUGGGUGUAAAGGGAGCGCAGGCGGGGAGACAAGUCAGCUGUGAAAUGCAUAGGCUUAACCUAUGAAUUGCAGUUGAAACUGUUUUUCUUGAGUGGAGUAGAGGUAGACGGAAUUCCGAGUGUAGCGGUGAAAUGCGUAGAUAUUCGGAGGAACACCAGUGGCGAAGGCGGUCUACUGGGCUCUAACUGACGCUGAGGCUCGAAAGUGUGGGGAGCAAACAGGAUUAGAUACCCU
RNAcentral lists this ribosomal RNA (266 nucleotides) under uncultured prokaryote. RNAcentral describes it as "partial 16S ribosomal RNA". It matches the Rfam family "Bacterial small subunit ribosomal RNA", at positions 523 to 788 of the family's 1533-position model. The record is from RNAcentral.